CAGUCGCCGCGGUAAUACGUAGGUGGCAAGCGUUGUCCGGAUUUAUUGGGCGUAAAGCGAGCGCAGGCGGUUUCUUAAGUCUGAUGUGAAAGCCCCCGGCUCAACCGGGGAGGGUCAUUGGAAACUGGGAAACUUGAGUGCAGAAGAGGAGAGUGGAAUUCCAUGUGUAGCGGUGAAAUGCGUAGAUAUAUGGAGGAACACCAGUGGCGAAGGCGGCCCUCUGGUCUGUAACUGACGCUGAGGCUCGAAAGCGUGGGGAGCAAACAGGAUUAGAUACCCGGGUAGUCCCUGUCUCUUAUAC
Molecule: ribosomal RNA, 301 nt
Filed under: uncultured bacterium
Lineage: Bacteria
Description: partial 16S ribosomal RNA
Rfam family: Bacterial small subunit ribosomal RNA
Source: RNAcentral